This 379-nucleotide ribosomal RNA is filed under the name uncultured Methanosaeta sp. RNAcentral describes it as "bacterial SSU rRNA". It matches the Rfam family "Archaeal small subunit ribosomal RNA", at positions 959 to 1338 of the family's 1478-position model. The record is from RNAcentral. Lineage: Archaea; Methanobacteriati; Methanobacteriota; Methanomicrobia; Methanotrichales; Methanotrichaceae.
CUGAAGACCUCACCCGAUUAGCUGAGAGGUGGUGCAUGGCCGUCGUCAGUUCGUACUGUGAAGCAUCCUGUUAAGUCAGGCACGAGCGAGACCCACGUCCACAGUUGCCAGCAUACCCUCCGGGGUGAUGGGUACACUGUGGAGACCGCCGCUGCUAAAGCGGAGGAAGGAGUGGGCAACGGUAGGUCAGUAUGCCCCGAAUCUCCCGGGCUACACGCGGGCUACAAUGGUUGGUACAAUGGGCAUCUACCCCGAAAGGGGAAGGAAAUCUCUUAAAGCCAAUCGUAGUUCGGAUUGAGGGCUGCAACUCGCCCUCAUGAAGCUGGAAUCCGUAGUAAUCGCGUUUCAACAGAACGCGGUGAAUACGUCCCUGCUCCUU